Molecule: ribosomal RNA, 1518 nt
Filed under: Triticum aestivum (bread wheat)
Lineage: Eukaryota; Viridiplantae; Streptophyta; Magnoliopsida; Poales; Poaceae
Description: partial small subunit ribosomal RNA
Source: RNAcentral
AUGAUGACCGUCUCGCUUGUUGUCGCGCUGUUCAACUCGCCCUUCGUCCUCACCACCCUCGCCUUCCUCCUCUUCACCCUCCUCGUCUCCAAGACGCGCAGCAAGGUUGCUGCCCGGGGAACGUUGCCUCCGUCGCCGCCCAGCCUGCCACUCUUCGGCCACCUUCGUCUACUCGGGAGCCUGCCGCACAGGAGUCUCCGGUCACUGGCCGCCUCCUACGGCCCGGUCAUGUACCUACGCCUCGGGCGUGUGCCCACCGUCGUGGCGUGCUCCGCGGCCGCCGCGGAGGAGGCCAUGAAGACCCGCGACCUGGCCUUCGCCAGCCGCCCCAAGCUGUUCAUGGUCGACCGGUUCUACUACGGCACGGGCGGCAUCGGGUUCGCGCCGUACGGCGAGCACUGGCGCCAGGCCCGCCGCGUCUGCGUCACCCACAUGCUUAACCCGCACCGCCUCAUGUCCUUCAGACGCGUCAGGGGGCAGGAGGUCGCCGCCCUCGUCGACCGGGUCCGCCGCGCCGGCACCGUCGUGAACCUGAGCGACAACCUCAUCGUCUACUCUUUCACCGCCAUCUCUCGCGCCACGUUUGGCGACACGAACUACGGGAUCGACGGCGACGAGGGGGGAGCGAGGCUGAGGAAGGUGUUCGCCGAGAUCGAGGAGCUCCUGGGCACGGUCCCCAUGGGGGAGAAGGUGCCAUGGCUGCGGUGGGUCGACGUCCUGACGGGACUGGAGCGGAAGACGAGGCGCGCUUUCGAGGAGAUGGAUGGACUGCUCGAGCGGGUCAUCACGGACCAUCGCCAAAGGCGUGGCGCCGGGGACGACGAUCAGCGUGACUUCGUGGACGUGCUGUUAGGUGCCAACGAGCUCGACACGAACGGCAUCAAGGCCAUCAUCCUGGACAUGCUUGCUGCCGCCACGGAUUCAACGUUCACGUUGCUGGAAUGGGCCAUGGCGGAGCUCAUCAACCACCCGCAAGAAAUGCGCAAGCUCCAGGACGAGGUCCGCACGGCCGUUGGCGACGCCGGCCACGUCACCGAGGACCAUCUGCCGGAUCUGCGCUACCUGAAGGCCGUCGUCAAGGAGACCCUCCGGCUCCACCCUCCCACGCCGCUCCUCCUGCCCCGGGAGACGGUCGAGGACACCCAGCUGCUCGGCUACCACGUCCCGGCAGGCACGCGGGUGCUGAUCCACGCCUGGGCCAUCGGCCGUGACCCAGCGACGUGGGGCGACCGCGCCGAGGAGUUCCUACCGGAGAGGUUCUUGGAGUACACCCACGAGAUGGGGCAAGACUUCGCGUUCUUGCCCUUCGGCGCCGGGAGGAGAGGUUGCCCUGGGGUCAGGUUCGCCAUGCCGUCCAACGAGCUGGCCCUAGCGAGCCUGGUGUACCACUUCGACUGGGAGCUAGUCGGCGGGAGGAAGCCGCCCGUGGACAUGACCGAGCUGCACGGGCUCUCCGUGCGCCUGAAGACGCCUCUGCUUCUGGCUGCUAAACCGUGGUCAGGCCGUGGUGUCGAAUGA